UCAAUGGCAAUGAAGAAGCGUAACCUUUGUGGAUUCCGAAGAGAGCCGGUGGGUGGUGCGAACCGGUGAUGACAUGCAGGCGAAUGGGCUUCCGAGCUUCCAAACCGAAACGUCCGGAGUAGGCUUUGGCGAAUGCCUUAUCGUUACAAAAGGCAGGUAUACGGUUUUUCCCUGAUACCGUCAAAGCCGGGCUGAUCAAGCCAAUAAAGGUGGCACCGCGGGUUUCCCGUCCUUUAC
Molecule: non-coding RNA, 237 nt
Filed under: Heyndrickxia coagulans
Lineage: Bacteria; Bacillati; Bacillota; Bacilli; Caryophanales; Bacillaceae
Description: Bacillus coagulans T-box sequence
Rfam family: T-box leader
About the family: Uncharged tRNA acts as the effector for transcription antitermination of genes in the T-box leader family. T-boxes are found upstream of many aminoacyl-tRNA synthetase genes and some amino acid biosynthetic genes usually in Gram-positive bacteria. The anticodon of a specific tRNA base pairs to a specifier sequence within the T-box motif, and the NCCA acceptor tail of the tRNA base pairs to a conserved bulge in the T-box antiterminator hairpin.
Source: RNAcentral